Homo sapiens (human) is the source of this 6656-nucleotide long non-coding RNA. RefSeq lists it as uncharacterized. NCBI's taxonomy places the organism in Eukaryota, Metazoa, Chordata, Mammalia, Primates, Hominidae. The record is from RefSeq and is a predicted model, not a curated record. The transcript is spliced from 3 exons.
CCAGACAGUUCUAGGCGCUCAGGUCCGCAGCUGUGCUACCCCCGCCGCCCGGGACGCCCGGUCCCCGCCAGGGCCCUCUCACUGUAGCUUUAAGGAGGGCUGGGGCCGGGUGCAGCGGCACCUGGAGUCUCGGUGGAACCCGGCAGCGGUGGGCGCGGACCCCGGAGAGGCUGCCCCGAGCCCGAGCACCCCCUGACCGGGCGCUCACCACGGGUGUUGGGACAAGCAGCGGAGCCUGCGGGCUGGAGCCAGGCUCGGACCCUCCGCGCCGGGGCGGGCGGCCGAGCGGACGCAGCUGGCAGUGGCGGCGGGAGAGCGCCCCGGAUCCGCCCGGAGCCCAACCCCGUGGCACUUCGGCUGGCUGGGCAGCGGCGCUGGGGACAACGCGGGGCCUUCUGCAACGAGCGCCUGCGUGGGACUCCAGGGGCCGGCGCCCCGCUCCGCUCCCCCCAGGCCUCAACCCCGCUGGCUACCCGCGCUGAAACCUCACCUGCCGCCGGCUGCAAACGGACUGCGCUCCAGGUUCUGCCAAAACAAGUGAUUGCAACAUAUAAUUGGACCAGCAACUAGAUGAUGUGACUCUUCUCUUCUGCCUGAGCCCUGGAUAUACUGUGUAUUAUGACACAUGGCUGAGUCCAACAUCAAGGUGAUGUGACUGACCACUUCUGCCUGGGCCAUGCCGAAAAAAGGAGAUUGUGACAUAUCACUGCAUUCAAUACCUAGAUGAUGUAAGUUUUUUCUUUUGCGUGGCUCUGCAUAUUUUUCAUAUUGUGACAUAUCAUUGGACCCAGCACCUAGGUGACGAUACUCUAUUCUCCUGCCUUAGCACUGGAGAAUAGAGUAUCACUGGACGCAGCACCUAGAAGAUGGGACUGUAUUCUACUGCCUUGGCGCAGCAUACAGAGGGUGUUUUCACAUAUCACUGGGCCCUGCACACAGGUUAUGUGGCUCUCCUGUGACAUAUUGCUGGGUCCAACAAGCUGGUGACACAACCCUCCUGCUGGGGCCCUGCCUCCCUGGCAUUGUGACAUACCUCUGUGCCCAUCACCGUGGUGAUGUGAUUCUCUUCUCCUGCCUGGUCCCUGAUCACAGAGGGGAUGGUGAUAUAUCGCUGAACCCAACCCCUGGCUGACGUGACUUUUCUUACUAGGCUCUGCUCACAGAGGAGAUUGUGUCUUUUUGCUUGGCCCAACGACUAGGUAAUGUUAUUUGUUUUGCCUUGGCCCUGCCCUCAGAAGGCAUUGUGACAUAUUUCUGGGCCCAGCAUAAAGGUUAUGUGAAUCUCCUGCUUGGACCCUGCUGACAGGGGGAAUUGUGACAUAUCUCUGGAAUUUGUCACAUACAAUUUAUCCUAAAUUCCCCUGAAAAUUGGAGGUCAUCUCUGGUUGCUAAUUGGCUAUAUUCAAAGGAAAAAUAAACUUAUGCUUUCAUGAGAGGUAGUUUGGAAACUUGGAGCCAGGUGCGUGAUGAAAGUUGGCUCCUAUCUUCCAACAAAAAGUGUGGAAUGGAGCUCUAUUUUCUUUGCUAUUUACAUUUUAAAUAAAUGAUUUUCAGGUCCUAGAGAAAGACAGUCCUGAGUCAGAGAUACUCACAAAAGACCUAUUUAGCAGUUAGAAUAAUUUAUAUAUAUUUCAAGUUGGCAGAAAAAUAAUUUAAGUAUAAAAGUUUUCUGGGCUGGGCGUGGUGACUCACACCUGUAAUCCCAGCAUUUUGGGAGGCCAAGGCAGGUGGAUCAUGAGGUCAGGCAUUCAAGACCAGCCUGGCCAAGAUGGUGAAACGCCAUCUCUACUAAAAACUACAAAACUUAGCCGGGCGCAGUGACAGGUGCCUGUAAUCCCAGCUACUCAGGAGGCUGAGGCAGGAGAACCACUUGAACCUGGAUGGCAGAAGUUGCAGUGAGCCAAGAUCACACCACUGCACUCUAGCCUGGGUGACAGAGUGAGACUCCAUCUCUAAAAAAAAAAAAAGUUUUCUAAAGUGAAUGUGUUUAAAAAAAGAGAAGAGAAAAAUCUCUUUUUUCAUGGACAUCUGAAUUCUAGUAGGUGCUGGAUUCAGGCACCUGAGGGGUGACCUUGGGCAUACUGUGCACAUCAGAAGGGUUUAUGGGGAAGUAAAAGCAGAAGAGGUUGGGCGCAGUGGCUCAUGCCUGUAAUCCCAGCACUUUGGGAGGCCAAGGUGGGUGGGUCACCUGAGGUCAGGAGUUCAAGACCACCCUGACCCACAUGGCGAAACCCCGUAUCUUCUAAAAAUACACACAAAAAAAUAGCUGGGCAUGGUGGUGGGCACCUGUAAUCGCAGCCAUUUGGGAGGCUGAGGCAAGAGAAUUGCUUGAACCCAGGAGUUGGAGGUUGCAGUGAGCCAAGAUCCCACCACUGCAUUCCAGCCUGGGCGAUAGAGUGGGACUCUGUCUCAAAAAAAAAAAAAAAAAAAAAGAAAGGCAAUAGAGGGAAAGGUGUUAUCAAGAACCCAUGAGUGGGGGACAGUACAUAAUAGCUGGGAGAACUGGUUUAUGCUACAGACACUAACCCAGGCAGGGCUAUAUUCUGACAUGUUCCUGUGUCCAUACAGGCAGAUGAGAUUAUGACUGGUGGUCCACAGGUCUAGGUGGAUGGAGGGAAAGGUUGCUGCUGCUGUUUGAGGAUCAAGGGUAGGAAAGAGCCAGGAGUCCUCUAGGAACUUGUGUGAAUUUUUUGGUGAGCAAUUCUAGGUGCAAAGGCCCUAUAAACAUAAUUCCUGAUAGUCAAGUCUUGUUUUGUGGAGGGUGUGGCCACAUCUAUUCCUAGUGGGUAUGUUCAUAAGUAGGUGAGAAUCGUGUGGUAGCAGGUUGGGGGCAGGGGGUCUGUUCUCAGAACUCCUUUCUUCUAAGUCCUCAGUCCCCUUUUACCCUGAGAGGAGAUCUGGAAUCACAGGACAAUGUGCAUUGUGACAGACUGUGUGCAGGGGAACAGAGUUUCCCUCCUGCCUAAACCCCUGGGAUAUUUUUUCCUGACACCAAAUGUAUAGAGUUUUAACAGCAACCAAUUCUCCAACACCAAUUGGUUGUCCAAUAAUAACUCAAUUCUGAUACCAUCCUGAGUCAACGCAGACGCCAAAAGUUCAGGGCUCAGUCCCACAACACUGCCCCCACUGCAGAUCCCAGCUGCGAUUAUUAGGGGCCCAUCUAUCCUUCUGAGCUACUGCCUAUAAAUUGGGGGCUCCCAUAACCUGCUCCUCAAGUUUAAUAACUUAAUAUAACUACUCACAGAACUCAACAAAACACUAUACAUGCAUUUACCAGUUUAUUAUAAAGAUACAAGUCAGGAACAGCCAAAUGGAAGAAAUGUAAAUGGCAAGAAAAAGCGGUGGGGGGGAAUGGGGUGGGUAGGUAACAGCAACAGCUGUGAUUAAAGAAAUCCCCCAUCCUUUGUGUUUUCCAAGAGCAUUUACUGCAAAGAAACAUCUUUCCUGUUUUUGAUAUCACAAAGCCACAGACUCUAAAUUCCCUUUUUUGGGGGUCUCAUAAACAAUUAAAUAAUAAGUUUGUCUUCAGUGGUCAGAACAAAAUACUUGUUAACCAAACUUUGUCUAAGUUUCUUUCCUUCCUCAGGCUCCCAAACUUUGACCUGAACUUACUCUGAGCUGACACACAACUCCUCUUUAUACCCCUCUUAAGAACAGGCUAGCCAGGUGUAGUGGCUCAUGCCUGUAAUCCCAGCACUAUGGGAGGCCAAGGUGGGCGGAUCACCUGAGGUUAGGAGUUCGAGGCCAGCCUGAACAGCAUGGAGAAAUCUCAUCUCUACUAAAAAUACAAAAUUAGCCAGGCAUGGUGGUGCAUGCCUGUAAUCCCAGCUACUGAGGAGGCUGAGGCAGGAGAAUUGCUGGAGCCCGGGAGGCAGAGGUUUCAGUGAGCUGAGAUCACACCAUUGCACUCCAGCCUGGGAAACAAGAGCAAAACUCGGUCUUUAAAAAAACAACAACAACAAAAAAUACAACAGGCUAACUUCUGGGUGAAACAUUCUCUGAUCUGGGACCUGAUUUCACCAUGUUUUAUUCCUCCCUCCCCCUCCUACCUUUCUUUCUGUCCUGUUUCCUCCUCCUUAUGAAAGAAAGCCCUAUUCUGCCUAACUUUUGAGAUCUUCCAGCAUCUUAUAGUUGGUGCUUUCCCUUUGUUGCAAUACUCCUUUAAAAUCAUGUAACUUCUUACCUAAAUCUGAAUUUGUCUUAUUUUACAAAAUCUAGAAAUAGCCCCAGGAAAAUAACGACUCCAUCCUCAGAAAGAGCUUCCCAACCCCACUUUCAUGCCAAUCCCAACUGUGUCUGCCUAAGGAUUUCCAGCUUUUCAGGGUUUUGUCAUUUCUCUAAGUAUAAAAGGCUCUGUCCAUGGCUAUUGUGAGCAGGCUAGGGCAUCUGCAGGGGAGGCUCCUCAGGCAGAACUGGUUGCUCCUUCAAUAAUCUCCCUUUGCAGGCAAAACUAUUGUUAGCUUGGGGAGUCACUGAAUUCAGGCUUCUACUUCCCAGUCAGGGUUAUUCACUUAGUUUUAAAUAAGAAAAUGCUCAAUGUUUGAAGAAAAGAGCAAAAUCACUCAAACACAGUGUUUAUAGAAUAUUGUAAGGAAAUUGUAAGGCACUUAGUAUCUAUUUCUUUCAGAAAAUAAACGUGUCAUUUAAAUAUUUCCAUGAUAAAUAAUUUAAUAAAUAACCAUAUGGGAACAUUUCUAGAAGGUGCUAAGUCUCAUCUCAUAAAAUUUAGCAUUAAACUUGGACAUCCAGACCACAGGAUACAGAACACAGAUGUCCACUGUUACAAAUUCUAGACCCUGCAAAAAAUGGGAGCUGAUGUUUUGAAAAAUAUAUGCAAUUCACCAGUUAAUCUAUCACAUUUGCUGUGGAAAUAUAUCACUUUCUGUAGCCAUAAUGCAAGAGCGAUUUUUCCUAUUUAUUUCCCUGGUAGCUUUGGUUUUUUUUUUUUUGUUUUUUUUUUGUUUUUUUUGUUUUUUUUUGAGACAGAGUUUCACUCUUGUUGCCCAGGCUGGAGUGCAAUAGCUUGAUCUCAGCUCACCGCAACCUCCGCCUCCCAGGUUCAAGCAAUUCUCCUGCUUCAGCCUCCCGAGUAGCAGGGAUUACAGGCAUGGGCCACCAUGGCCAGCGAAGUUUGUAUUUUUAGUAGAGAUGAGGUUUCUCCGUGUUGAUCAGGCUGAUCUCGAACUCCCAACCUCAGGUGAUCUGCCUGCCUCAGCCUCCCAAAGUGCAAGGAUUAUAGGUGUGAGCCACCGCACUCAGCCUUCUGGUAGCAUUUUCAAAGAAAAGCCCUGGAAUUUUACUUGAAAUCACCCCCCAAAAAGAACACACAUAAGAAACUUACUACACUCACUCUGGGGAUAAUAAAGAUAGAUAAGAAUCUUUAAUGAAAUAAAUAUAUGACUAGAUUUUACUGAAAUCCACCUUUCUGGGUACUUGACUCUUGUAAAAUGUCUUAAGUUCUACUAAUAAAAUGUAAUUUAAGGUAAUUAAAAAACUGAAGUUGAAAUAAGUAAAAUAAUCUUUCCAAGGUGACAAACUCAGGGAGUGGCAGUGCCGAUUGGAACACAAACAUGUCUGACUCAACUGUCAAGUCAGACCAUGGUAUCACUCAAAACAUUCUCCCAUUCCCAUCCUACCCAUUCAAUUACUCAGUGAUCACCUUCCCAGGAGAAACUGUACUGUACUCCACUGUGGGCCUCAGGUACAUUUUGUUUUGCAGGUUCUUGCAUUGCCUUACUAAAAUGGGUUCUUCUUAGUCCUUUGGAAAAAAAUUUAUUUCUUCACAAAUCUGAUGAAUCCAAAGGGCAGGAAUUAUUUCUGCCUUUUCUCCUCAAUAUGAACCUCUGAUUGGCUGAUCACCAAUGUGUCUACAAAGAAUAAAAAUUGGGGUUUAAAAAAACCCUUUUUUUAACUGCUUGCACACUUGUGCAUUUUUAUUUCAUUGGAGGAAAAUCCUAAAUACAUUGCAGAGUCAAGGGGUAAAUUAAAAAAAUAAUAAUUUCAUUUAUUUAUUUUGAGAUGGAGUCUCACUCUAUCACCCAGGUUGGAGUGCAGUGGCGCAAUCUCGGCUCACUGCAACCUCCGCAUACUGGGUUCAAGCGAUUCUUGUGCCUCAGCCUUCCCAGUAGCGGGACUACAGGCAUGCACCACUAUGCCUGGCUAAUUUUCAUACUUUUAGUAGAGGCGGGGUUUCACCAUGUUGGCCAGGUUGGUCUUAAACUGGAAUAGGAAUUAAAAUAAAUUAAAGAAUGUGUAAACAGAAACUCAGCUGUAUGUAAGAAAACCCAAUUCUCCCUGAGAAAGAGAAAGAGCUGGAGUCCUUUAAAAAUUAACUGCCUGUUUUUCUGUGGCUAGUGAGCCUUAUCUCUUCUUUCCCAGGCACUGUUUCUCUAGCUGUGCAGCUGCAAGGUCACUAGACAGAUAAACUCAAGUCGUAAAACAUGUUUUUCCUUGAAAAGUAAGAAUGAUGUAAUGCAUGUCUCAAUUAAUUGAAUAACUGUCUUUCUUUCUCGCUUCUGUAAUAUGCUUCCCCCUGCACAGAUCUCCCCCAACCCCACAAAAUGCUUAAAAGAUAACUUAGCUCUUUGUUCAGGGCUCAGUCCUUUGGAUGUAAUCCGACUAGGCCAGUGAACCUAAAUAAUAAAUAUCCUCCUCAA